GCUCCGCUGACGAGUGGCGAACGGGUGAGUAAUGCGUCGGAACGUGCCGAGUAGUGGGGGAUAACGCAUCGAAAGGUGUGCUAAUACCGCAUACGAACUGAGGUUGAAAGUGGGGGACCUUCGGGCCUCACGCUAUUCGAGCGGCCGACGUCUGAUUAGCUAGUUGGUGAGGUAAAGGCUCACCAAGGCGACGAUCAGUAGCGGGUCUGAGAGGAUGAUCCGCCACACUGGGACUGAGACACGGCCCAGACUCCUACGGGAGGCAGCAGUGGGGAAUUUUGGACAAUGGGCGCAAGCCUGAUCCAGCCAUGCCGCGUGUCUGAAGAAGGCCUUCGGGUUGUAAAGGACUUUUGUCCGGGAGCAAAUACCCAGUGCUAAUAACGCUGGGGGCUGAGAGUACCGGAAGAAUAAGCACCGGCUAACUACGUGCCAGCAGCCGCGGUAAUACGUAGGGUGCAAGCGUUAAUCGGAAUUACUGGGCGUAAAGCGUGCGCAGGCGGUUUUGUAAGCCAGAUGUGAAAGCCCCGGGCUCAACCUGGGAACUGCGUUUGGAACUACAAGACUAGAGUGUGUCAGAGGGGGGUGGAAUUCCGCGUGUAGCAGUGAAAUGCGUAGAGAUG
RNAcentral lists this ribosomal RNA (620 nucleotides) under Vogesella fluminis. Its description in RNAcentral is "bacterial SSU rRNA". It matches the Rfam family "Bacterial small subunit ribosomal RNA", at positions 82 to 698 of the family's 1533-position model. RNAcentral also lists the same sequence under 1 other name. Lineage: Bacteria; Pseudomonadati; Pseudomonadota; Betaproteobacteria; Neisseriales; Chromobacteriaceae. The record is from RNAcentral.